AGAGCGAACGCUGGCGGCAGGCCUAAUACAUGCAAGUCGAGCGGUCCCUUCGGGGGCAGCGGCGGACGGGUGAGUAACGCGUGGGAACGUGCCCUUUGGUACGGAACAACUGAGGGAAACUUCAGCUAAUACCGUAUGUGCCCUUCGGGGGAAAGAUUUAUCGCCAUUGGAGCGGCCCGCGUUGGAUUAGGUAGUUGGUGAGGUAAAGGCUCACCAAGCCUACGAUCCAUAGCUGGUCUGAGAGGAUGAUCAGCCACACUGGGACUGAGACACGGCCCAGACUCCUACGGGAGGCAGCAGUAGGGAAUAUUGGACAAUGGGGGCAACCCUGAUCCAGCAAUGCGCGUGAGUGAUGAAGGCCUUAGGGUUGUAAAGCUCUUUUACCCGAGUAUGAUAAUGACAGUAUACGGAGAAUAAGCUCCGGCUAACGUCCGACGCCAGACCAGCCGC
RNAcentral lists this ribosomal RNA (450 nucleotides) under uncultured soil bacterium. RNAcentral describes it as "bacterial SSU rRNA". It matches the Rfam family "Bacterial small subunit ribosomal RNA", at positions 26 to 518 of the family's 1533-position model. The record is from RNAcentral.